CUACGGGACGCUCCAGUGAGGAAUAUUGCACAAUGGGGGGAACCCUGAUGCAGCAACGCCGCGUGGAGGAUGACGCAUUUCGGUGUGUAAACUCCUUUUAUAUGUCAAGAAAAUGACGGUAGCAUAUGAAUAAGCACCGGCUAACUCCGUGCCGGCAGCCGCGGUAAUACGGAGGGUGCAAGCGUUACUCGGAAUCACUGGGCGUAAAGGACGCGUAGGCGGGUUGGAAAGUCAGGUGUGAAAUCCUACAGCUUAACUGUAGAACUGCACUUGAAACUUCUAAUCUAGAGUAUGGGAGGGGGAGAUGGAAUUAGUGGUGUAGGGGUAAUAUCCGUAGAUAUCACUAGGAAUACCUAAAGCGAAGGCGAUCUCCUGGAACAUUACUGACGCUAAGGCGUGAAGGCGUGGGGAGCAAACAGGAUUAGAUACCCCCGUAGUC
Molecule: ribosomal RNA, 439 nt
Filed under: uncultured bacterium
Lineage: Bacteria
Description: partial 16S ribosomal RNA
Rfam family: Bacterial small subunit ribosomal RNA
Source: RNAcentral